UACGUAGGGGCCUAGCGUUGUCCGGAUUUAUUGGGCGUAAAGAGCUCGUAGGCGGUUCGGCAAGUCGGAUGUGAAAUCUCCACGCUUAACGUGGAGGGGCCAUUCGAAACUGCCGUGACUCGAGUCCGGUAGGGGAGUGUGGAAUUCCUGGUGUAGCGGUGAAAUGCGUAGAUAUCAGGAGGAAUACCUAUGGCGAAAGCAGGUAUCUGGGCCAUCACUGACGCUGAGCUGCGAAAGCUAGGGGAGCAAACAGG
This 254-nucleotide ribosomal RNA is filed under the name uncultured bacterium. Its description in RNAcentral is "partial 16S ribosomal RNA". It matches the Rfam family "Bacterial small subunit ribosomal RNA", at positions 524 to 776 of the family's 1533-position model. The record is from RNAcentral.